ACAACACAAGAUUUACGUGGAAAACUCCAAAUCCGGAGAAAAACCACGGCCGUUGUCAAAAAGACAACCAGAGAAAAAAUAUUCACUAUGUGGAAAAUUAUUACAACCACACUCUCAGAAAUAAUUUUCUCUCACCUAAGCCCCAAAUACACCCCAAAGAAAUACUCUCUGAAUGAAGAAAAGAAGCCGAGGAUUAGAUACACAAACCAAAUGAGCAGCACCCCUUUUUAUAGCCUAAAUUAGCUAUUAAAAUAUUAUUAUAUUUUCCACCGCCAUUAUCUUCUUCAACUCUUCCUUUUUCUUCUUCCUUGUCAAAGUUGUUUGCUUCCUUCAAACUUUGCUGCAACCAAAUUCAAUUUUUCUUUUUUUCUUUCUUUUUGACCGUGCAAAUCCAUCUCUUCUAGAAAGAAUAAAGCUCACAUUUUUUUUUACAUUCUCCCACUUGGAGAUUUGAUUAAGAACCAAUCAAUCUCCACACCAACCUUACUAUUUUCACCUUAGUCAUAAUCCUCGUCAUAGAGAAUUAUCAUACUCCACCAUAAAGAAUAUACCACUUAGAAUUAAUUACCAAUUCUAAGAAUUUUACAUCAGCACAUGUCGAAAUAACCUGCUGAAAUUUAUGGUGCAACUUCCAUGUUGGCUUUCCUGGAAAUUCAUCAGCCAUCGACAUAAAUUCCACCACACACCCUGCAUCAAUGCCAACCAUGCCUUGUGUGUAAAUCUUGUGGACCCGCUAGUAGUAAAACAUCCCCUUUCAUGGUACUAGCGGUAUACCAUGAGGAUGUCAUCAUCAUCUAUUUUACAAGGGAUCAUCGUCUCCCACGAUGAAGAGAGACUUACCACUAGCAAUACUAUCAGUAUCUGAUCUGGAGCCACUUGCCGAUCCUGCUCCAUUUCUACUAUGACAAUCUCUUUUUAAGUGAUCCGAUUGUCCACACCCCCAGCAGACUCCUUUCUUCUUAGAUUUAUCUUUCUGCCAAUUCCCUACAACUGUCAAAGCCGAGACAUCUGUAGUUUUAGUACUUUCACCACUCAGUCUUCUUUCUUCUGAGAGUAAAGUACUAGUAACUUCUUCAAGAUCUACUGUCUCCUUCCCGUACAUCAAAGUAGGUAACAAGUGUUUGUAGGAAGUUGGAAGUGACCAUAGUAACCUAAGCGCCUUGUCCUCAUCUUCAAUUUUAACUCCAAUGGCUUCUAGUUCUGACACAAUACCAUUGAGAACACUGAGGUGAUCGGAAAUUUUUGUACCUUCAGCCAUUCGCAGUGUGUGAAAUCGCUCCUUCAGGUACAAUCGAUUUGAGAUGCUCUUUGUCUGAUACAACUUUUCUAGCUUCUCCCAAAGUUCUUUCGCUGUAGGAAUUUUUCCUACAUUUGCAAGAACAUUCUUUGCUAGACACAGUCGUAUGGCACUUGCAGCUCUAUCAUCUAAUUCUUCCCAAUCUUCAUCACUUAUACUAGUUUUUCCAGAGCCACUACUGGAAGCAGGGGAUGGCUUCCCCUUCAAUGCCUUGUGUAACCCAGAUUGAAUCAACACAUCUUUGACUUGAACUUGCCACAAGCCAAAGUUAAUUCUCCCAUCGAAUUUUUCUAUUUCAAAUUUCACCGGACUUGAAAAUUUCAAUCCUGACAUAUUUGCUUUGCAGAUAAGCUUUUACUCUUCACCACAGACUGUUUGGAUUGGCUCCCACUGCUUCACGUGAAUAGUACCGUAUACGUGAACAGUACCGUAUACGUGAACAGUGCCCCGACACCAAAACUUAAAUCAAUGGCUCUGAUUCCACUGUUAGGAAAUUGAGCUUCCUCCCAAGAUCACUCCAAGCAAUUUGUCAAGCAACAAAUUAACAGAAAAAUUUAAUGGAGAAUACACCAAUCACACAACACAAGAUUUACGUGGAAAACUCCAAAUCCGGAGAAAAACCACGGCCGUUGUCAAAAAGACAACCAGAGAAAAAAUAUUCACUAUGUGGAAAAUUAUUACAACCACACUCUCAGAAAUAAUUUUCUCUCACCUAAGCCCCAAAUACACCCCAAAGAAAUACUCUCUGAAUGAAGAAAAGAAGCCGAGGAUUAGAU
This 2073-nucleotide long non-coding RNA is filed under the name Citrus x clementina. RNAcentral describes it as "Citrus clementina (C. clementina) long non-coding RNA (CCLE_LNC004073)". The record is from RNAcentral. Lineage: Eukaryota; Viridiplantae; Streptophyta; Magnoliopsida; Sapindales; Rutaceae.